GUAACUCAGUGGAAGAGUAUCUCCUUGGUAAGGAGAAAGUCAUGAGUUCAAUUCUCAUCAAGGGCUUGCGCUUU
Molecule: transfer RNA, 74 nt
Filed under: Dichotomaria marginata
Lineage: Eukaryota; Rhodophyta; Florideophyceae; Nemaliales; Galaxauraceae
Description: tRNA-Thr
Rfam family: tRNA (bases 1-66)
About the family: Transfer RNA (tRNA) molecules are approximately 80 nucleotides in length.
Source: RNAcentral